AGGUGAUGGACCUGGUCAUCCACCAAGACCAAACCUACUAAUAAUACUAAUAGAAUAUACUGGACAAUGUGUCCUUAAUUCGGGAUAUUUUGGACAUCUCUGGUUCAUUGGGCAUUAAGACUGGUCUCAUUUCACUAGACCAGGAAAAAGCUUUUGACAGGGUUGUGAUAGGGCGCGAUGGGUGGAUAUUAUGCUUUUUGAACAUAUUAUACUAAUUAAAACCUGCAGCGUGGGAGCUGCAGUUGGGGAGCGGCACCGCGAAGGUCAUACAAAGAUAACACGUACACAAUAUGUGAACUCUUCGCCCCCGAAACCCCCGCCCUCGCACGUUCCACCCUGUUGUGUGUGUGUAUGAAAAAUGAAAUAAAAGGAUGGCAAAAAGGAAAGUUCGUCGGAAGUCGACACUGCAGACGUGGUGUGGCUGGGCUUCCCCUUUGCAAAGUUGACAAAAUAUACGACUUGUCUGUGGUUUGUUCUCGCCUCUCAGUAAGGUUGCAGAAAUACCUAUCAUAACUUGGUGCUGAGACCUGGAUCCCAACAUACCCAGCGCCUGGACCUCAGCCUGCGGACACACUGAAGCCCGUCGACGGCCCGACUCAGCGUCAGAAACAAAGACCGAGGGAGCAAAUUCUCUGCCCGGCCAGUGACUAGAACUUCCCCAGACGAGGGGUCCAGGCUUGGAUUGGCGGAUCGAGGACCAAGGGAGAAGACCCACAGCAGAACAACCCGGAUCAGUGCCCUGAACCUGUGACGACCACGAGUAGAGGGGAAGUCUGACUACAAAGGGGACUGCCCGCAUUAAAAGGCAGCCGUCUCAACGUCAGUGAAGAAAUCAGUGAUCCCUACUCAUUAGGCGUCAGACCGGGGGAUGGAGCCUGAAGCCAUGAUGGUUGUGGGAGAGGAGAGAGACCAGCGUGGGGACACAUCCCUAAAACCCUGAGUUAAGUACAGGCAUCACAGCUUCCCCAACGUCUGUAGAGCCCUAGGAGCCUUGUUCCUGGUGAUGUUUGGAGUGUGGUUGUCGUUUCUGUUGCAGGACAUAAAACUACAGAAGGCGACAGCAGGAGACCCAGAGGCAAGCACCACCGAACCCUAAGGCCCACAGCUGCGUCUAAAAAGAUGAACCCACCUGAAAGACGACCCCUGGGGAGACCAGGGAAAAGAGGAAAAACACCCCAGAUUGAAAACCAGGUUGGAGAUCCGCAGCAGUGGUACCCCUGGCCUGACGGGGACCCUGGUGAGGACAAGAGUCCUGUGCCUGCAGCAGCUGGUGGACGCAGUGGGGCCGACGCUGAACGACGCUCCGGCUCUAGGCUCUCUUCUGGGUCUACAUUCUGUCUGGGUGGCAAGGAGGCUCCUGGAGAUAUGGAACCAGAGGCUGACGGUGGAGGAGAGGAGCCUCCUCCAGGGAGCCAGACCCUGCAGCCCCUCACCCUAAGAUGUACCUGAGCCCGGAGCUGGGGGACCUCACCGGCCCCCUGCUCGCUACGACAAGCCCAAAGAGUCUGACAUUGCAUGAAGCAGGAAAAAAGACUAUACUUCAAUUGCGUGAAAUGCACAAACAGAACUGGACUGUGUAACAGGCUCCCCACUGUGUGGUCCAAGAGACUGGGACAAAAUGGACCUGGCCCACAGUGGAGGAUUUUAUAUAACCCCCCAUCAAAAAACAGACUGCUGACCUCCAGUGGAGAAUUUUACAUGGCGCUGUCGCCUCCAAUGCUUUUAUCUCUGUUAUUAAUCCUUCUGUUCUUAGCCAGUGCCCAUUCUGUGAUCUUAGAGAGACUAUUUAUCAUGUUUUUACUGAGUGUAAGAGGCUCACAGAGUUCUUCUCUCUUUUAACAUUGUUUUUUAGUCUUUUUAGCGUGGUUUUUACAGAACAGGUAUUUAUUCAAAAAAACAGAAAAGGAAAAGUGGCAGCUCCUAAACUUUGUCUGUGGGGAAGCAAAGAUGGCAAUUUAUUUAUCAAGAAAAAACAGAGUGGAAAACAGCCUGGGCCUCCUGCCCCUCCCUAUCUGGCUGUGUAAUAUAAGAGCAAGACUCUGGCUAGAGUUUAGGUUUUUUAAACACAUUGGCGAUUUGGAUGCUUUUAAACUAAACUGGUGUUUUAACAACAUUGUUUGCUCUGUGGUCCAUGAUGAGCUGGAAUUUGCACAAUUUUUUAUGUGAGUGUGUGUAUAUAUAUAUUGUUCUUUUUGUGUGUGAGAAAACUCAGUAGCAC
This is a long non-coding RNA of Pungitius pungitius (ninespine stickleback), 2218 nucleotides long. RefSeq lists it as uncharacterized. The transcript has 3 exons. NCBI's taxonomy places the organism in Eukaryota, Metazoa, Chordata, Actinopteri, Perciformes, Gasterosteidae. The record is from RefSeq and is a predicted model, not a curated record.